CCUACGGGUGGCAGCAGUGAGGAAUAUUGGUCAAUGGGCGAGAGCCUGAACCAGCCAAGUCGCGUGAAGGAUGACGGCCCUACGGGUUGUAAACUUCUUUUGUCAGGGAGCAAUUGAGUCCACGUGUGGUCUUAGCGAGAGCACCUGAAGAAAAACCACCGGCUAACCCCGUGCCAGCAGCCGCGGUAAUACGGAGGUUGCGAGCGUUAUCCGGUUUUAUUGGGUUUAAAGGGUGCGUAGGCGGACUAUCAAGUCAGCGGUAAAAGUUCGGGGCCCAACCCCGUCGUGCCGUUGAAACUGUUGGACUUGAGUAGGCGAGGGGUAUGCGGAAUGCGUGGUGUAGCGGUGAAAUGCGUAGAUAUCACGAAGAACUCCGAUUGCGAAGGCAGCGUACCGGAG
Molecule: ribosomal RNA, 399 nt
Filed under: uncultured bacterium
Lineage: Bacteria
Description: partial 16S ribosomal RNA
Rfam family: Bacterial small subunit ribosomal RNA
Source: RNAcentral